RNAcentral lists this transfer RNA (72 nucleotides) under Camelus bactrianus (Bactrian camel). It matches the Rfam family "tRNA". Rfam says of the family: Transfer RNA (tRNA) molecules are approximately 80 nucleotides in length. Their secondary structure includes four short double-helical elements and three loops (D, anti-codon, and T loops). Further hydrogen bonds mediate the characteristic L-shaped molecular structure. tRNAs have two regions of fundamental functional importance: the anti-codon, which is responsible for specific mRNA codon recognition, and the 3' end, to which the tRNAs corresponding amino acid is attached (by aminoacyl-tRNA synthetases). tRNAs cope with the degeneracy of the genetic code in two manners: having more than one tRNA (with a specific anti-codon) for a particular amino acid; and 'wobble' base-pairing, i.e. permitting non-standard base-pairing at the 3rd anti-codon position. The record is from Rfam by way of RNAcentral. RNAcentral also lists the same sequence under 2 other names. Lineage: Eukaryota; Metazoa; Chordata; Mammalia; Artiodactyla; Camelidae.
GCGGGUAUAGCUUAGUGGUAGAACACAUGCUUAGCAUGCACAAGGUCCUGGGUUUAAUCUCCAGUACCUCCA